UCCGGGGGCCGCCGCGGUGGCGCCGCCGCCCAAGAUCUCGCCGCCGUGGUCCGACCUGUACCACAACCCCCACCACCACCAGCACGCGCACCACCACCACCCGCACCAGCUGCACCACGCGGCCGUGCAGCAGCAGCAGCACCACCCGCAGCAGCACCACGGCCAGCCGCACCAGCCGCCCCCGCCGCCGCCCCACCCGCACCAUACCCACCACCACCAGCACCACCAGCACCACAACCACCACCAAGCCCAGCACCCGCACGCCCACCAGGGCUCUCCUCACCUCGACCCCAGCAUGAGUUCCUAUUUCGCCAACUCGUACAUGCCCGACCUGCGCAACGGCGGCGUCGUGCCCGCGGAGCACCCGCACGCGCACUACGGCGCCGCCGUGCAGCAAGGCCCCGGAGGCGGCGCCGACCCCAGCUCGGGGGCGGGCGCCGCCUCGUGGGGCGGCGGCGGCGGCGGCGCCGGGGCGCAGCAGCCGCCUCAGGGCAUGCCAUACCCGCGCUUCCCUCCCUACGACCGUAUGGACAUCCGGAGCGCAGCCUACUACGGCGCGCAGCAGUCCGGCGGCGGCGGCGGCCUCGACGGCUCGCCCGGGGGCGGCGGCGGCAACGGGGGCGGCGGGGGCGGAGGCUACCGCUCGGGUUCCCCCAUGGGUGGUGGCGGGCAGACCCCCGUCGUGUACGCGAGCUGCAAGCUCCAGGCGGCGGCGGCCGCGGCGGCCGCGGCGGCGGCGGGGAACGGGGGCGGGGCGGGCGGCGGGGGCAGCCCGCCGCUGGACGUGCCGCCCCACCAGCACCAGCACCACGCGCACCACGCGCCGCCCCACCUGCAGCAGCAGCAGCAGCAGCAGCAGCAGCUGUACGCCGACCCGGCGCCGCAGCAGCAGCAGCAGCAGCAGCCGCCGCCGACGCAGCAGCCGCCGCCGGUGCCGCCCCCGCACCAGCACCAGCCUCCGCUGGGCGCCGGCGUCCCGCCCCCCGGCCACCAGCACCAGCACCAGCACCCGCAGCAGCAGCAGCAGCCGCCCCCGCAGCAGCACAACGGCAGCCCCGCCAACACGCUGCCCAGCCCGCUCUACCCCUGGAUGCGAAGCCAGUUCGAGCGCAAGCGCGGCCGGCAGACGUACACGCGCUACCAGACGCUCGAGCUGGAGAAGGAGUUCCACUUCAACCGCUACCUGACGCGCCGCCGGCGCAUCGAGAUCGCGCACGCGCUCUGCCUCACCGAGCGCCAGAUCAAGAUCUGGUUCCAGAACCGCCGCAUGAAGUGGAAGAAGGAGAACAAGUCCAAGCCCGACGCCGGCCAGAACGGGGACGGCAACGCCGGCUCCGACAUCACCCCGCAGACGUCGCCCCAGUGAGCGGGCCGCGCGCCCACCACCCUCCGCCACGCACCUCCGGCCUCCGCACAGAGGAAUUCGCCGGAAGGACUCCCUCCCUCCCCCCGCCCCGCCCCGACCCCUCUCAGAAGCUGUUCCCGCAGAAAAGUAUUAUGACGUCCACCCUCAUGUGCCCCCGAGAAAUUUUGUGGCUGUCCCUCCCCCAUAACCCCCAUACAUCGUUAGAGAAAGGAACCUUUUUACUCAGAGCGGCAGCCUUUUUUUUUUUUGCAAUUACACAGCUGUGCGUGCGAGUGUGUGCUAAAUUAUAUAUAUAUACAUACAUAUACGCGUAUAGUCACUAUAUUUAAGAAAGCAGCGCUUGAAGGGUAGCAAGAGGAGACAGUGAACAAAAUUUGAAAAUAUAUAUAUAUAUAUUAUAAAUGUGCUAAAAUUUUGACAAGUCCAAUGUAAAUAGUCACUAAGCAUAUAUUCAAACUGUUUUCUGUGCGUUUCUAGACGUGUGCGUGUAAGCGCUUUUAAAUUAGGAACUUGGCUGUAAAUUGGAUGUGGCGUUUAUGGAACAAUUUGUUUUCAGACGCAAGCUCAGACGAAGAGGAACGUCGACACUGUAGCUCAAAGGAUGCUAGCAGAUUCAACCUCUUCAGUUAACAACCUGGGCAUAUGGGAGGCACAUCCCAAUUUCUUUUAAUGCAUCGCAUCUAAGCUCACUGUCAUACAUUUCAUAAAAUCCGUGUAAAAAAGAGAGGAAAAAAUCAAAAGAACACACGAUUUCAGCAUCCAAGUAGAAAAGCAAGUAUAAUAACAAGCUUAGUAUCACGAGCUAACUUUAUUCUAGGAAAAACAAACGACAGAUGUGCUUGUGUUAACAGUAGAUGAAACGCUACAGUAAAUGUUGUCACAACCUUUUUGCCACAUGCCAAUGUGAUGCAGCUAGAAGAACCUAUCCCUUUUACAACUGAACGCUGAGAAUACGUUUUGCAUUGCCCCCUUUUUUUUAAAAAAAAAAAGAGAGAAAAAAUGAAAGUGACUUCUUCAGUGGAGCGACUGACUGUUUUUGAUCUGCCAAAAUGUGACGAAAGAAGAAGGGUAACCAUGUGUUGUAGCGAAACACACGUUUAGCGCUCUGACUGUAAUGCGGUCUCCGUUAAAAACCUCAGAAAUGAGAUUUUUUCGAAGAGAGGAAGACCUACGAGAGAGUCCUCUAAGUGGAUAAUUGAAAGAAGGCUGCGUGGUUGGUCUGCGCAGAUCUCCGACAAUUUCAUGACUAGUCGCAACGAGCGAUGAAUGUGUGCAGAUGCGCCGCCGAUGGUCCAGUAUUUUCAAGCUUUGAAAGUGCUUAGCUGUGUGUGUGUGUAUGCGUGUGCAUCGAAGCUCUGCAGUGUUAUCGUAUUAAUGUAGGAGGUAAAGAAAAAUUGCGAGCAUCGUAUUACUGGUGAUCAGGAAGUGAGUUAAUCGAGUGAAAGUUGCCAAAAGUGAUGUUGCUAAUUGUUUCCUUGGUCGUGUGGCAGUAGUAAUGUUUCGCCCAGUUAUGAGAGUCAACACCAUCGUUCCCUGAAGGGUCGCUGCCAUCGCCAGUCUGCAACCCCAAAACGUCCUGCCCAUCUUCAGCGGGAGAGAGGUCCAUCUACAUUGCCCUCCCUUCCCCCCCAACCCCCCAUCCCACGUACGUGCAGGAAACCUCUGGGCCAUGAAACGUCUACACGACACCAGUCUAUGAAGUGGCAGAUCAGAAGACAUUGAGGUUCACAGGCGUACGCCGUACCGUGUAAGAACAGACAAGCUCUGCAGACUUUCGUCGGAAAGAUGAACAAGGAAACGAUAUACGUAAGAAGGAGUCUGUAACAAAACUUGCACACACUUUUUUGUGUAAGAUUGAAACUGGUAUACGUAAUAUAAAAUGACGUAAACUAUUUCUGGUCCUAUAUGAAACUGUAGAAUACGUCUUUAUACACCAAUGGAAUAGCAUACAUAUGUUUCGUACAGAAGUUUUGAGUGUUUCGAUAGGUUUAAACUAAUUUAUAGCAAGAAAUAUGUGCUGUGCUAAAAUACGUACUACUGAUAUUAACAAAAAAGAACACUUUUUUAAGAGGAAGGUAUUCUCAGAACAUAUUUCAUAUUCCAUAGAAAGUAAUGGAAAGUAUUUGUCUUUACUAUUAACCAUUGAUGUGUAUUUGUUAAAGUCUACACACUAAAAUUUGGGACAACCGAUUCAGAGAUUAUUGUAUCAAUUCUGCUGAAAACACCACAGCAUCGGUAGUCAUCAAAUGAGUGUUGUUUGUCGAUUUAUUUUACUUGAAUUCAUUAUUGUAAUUCAUCGUAAUUUUUGUAUGAUAAGUAUUGUUUCGAAAGAAUGAGAAUAUCCUAUAUAAGUAUACAUACAUAUAUAAACAGUCACAUCGCGUUCAAUAUUAUUAUAUAGUAUAUUAAAUUGAAGUAACUAAACAUAAAUAUUCACAGAAGUUCGAACACUUGAGUCUUGCGGUUCAAUUUCACCAGAAGAAAACAGUACUACUAUUCAUUUCUCAGACAUUAUAAGUAAGCAUUAAACGUUGACUGUAGUUUGUGAAAAUUACAUAAAACAAUUCAGAAAUGGGUCCUUGUAACUUUUCGUAGUGUAAAGAUAUAUUUAAAAGUCUUGUGCGUGUGUGAGUUAAUUUUUUGUAGUUAACUGUACAAAAGUAAUAAUAAUAAAUUAAUAUA
RNAcentral lists this unclassified non-coding RNA (4048 nucleotides) under Schistocerca americana (American grasshopper). RNAcentral's name for it is "homeotic protein antennapedia-like, transcript variant X1". The record is from RNAcentral. Lineage: Eukaryota; Metazoa; Arthropoda; Insecta; Orthoptera; Acrididae.